GAUGAACGCUGGCGGCGUGCCUAAUACAUGCAAGUCGAGCGAACAGACGAGGAGCUUGCUCCUUCGACGUUAGCGGCGGACGGGUGAGUAACACGUAGGUAACCUACCUAUAAGACUGGGAUAACUUCGGGAAACCGGAGCUAAUACCGGAUAAUAUUUCGAACCGCAUGGUUCGAUAGUGAAAGAUAGCUUUGCUAUCACUUAUAGAUGGACCUGCGCCGUAUUAGCUAGUUGGUAAGGUAACGGCUUACCAAGGCAACGAUACGUAGCCGACCUGAGAGGGUGAUCGGCCACACUGGAACUGAGACACGGUCCAGACUCCUACGGGAGGCAGCAGUAGGGAAUCUUCCGCAAUGGGCGAAAGCCUGACGGAGCAACGCCGCGUGAGUGAUGAAGGUCUUCGGAUCGUAAAACUCUGUUAUUAGGGAAGAACAAACGUGUAAGUAACUGUGCACGUCUUGACGGUACCUAAUCAGAAAGCCACGGCUAACUACGUG
Molecule: ribosomal RNA, 497 nt
Filed under: uncultured bacterium
Lineage: Bacteria
Description: partial 16S ribosomal RNA
Rfam family: Bacterial small subunit ribosomal RNA
Source: RNAcentral